GGCUUGUCCACAGGUAGUGAGUUAUUUCAUGUGACUGUUCACAGUGAGUUAAAGAUUGAACGCCUUGUUCUACUCUUUCCUCUGUCUCACUACUGCCUAGCCUUUA
RNAcentral lists this small RNA (106 nucleotides) under Otolemur garnettii (small-eared galago). RNAcentral describes it as "Y RNA (ENSOGAG00000018794.1)". The record is from RNAcentral. Lineage: Eukaryota; Metazoa; Chordata; Mammalia; Primates; Galagidae.